GGGCCAAAAGGACACAACCUUCUUCAACACUUAUUGACUAAUCAUCAGUAAUUAAGAACAAACACCAAUAAAUAGUUAAUAGAUGAGAUGAAGAUGCCGACCAAUGGCACUCAGAAAUACAGUAGCUGGGUUUCGUAAGAUAAAUGAAACUGUUUAUUUGUUGUUUCACUGGGUGUUUCACUUGUGUAGCUCAUUUCAGGUUUCUGGCCAAGGGGGAUAGGUUGUGGUUGUUUCAGCCUCUUUAGGGCAUAAACUGACAAAAACUUGUUUUCCAUUGCUUCCUUCCUUACUCCUCAUCAGUGCCUCCAACACCUGCAUCUCUAAGAUUGUGGUAUGAAAGGUAUAUCUUGGAAAAAGCUUGGCUUGGUUAGUCGUGUGAAAGGGAGGCCAAGAAGCGAUACUGAGGCUUUUAUACAUGGCAUAAGGAGGACUAAAUACUAGAGAGCAAGCUAAAAUGUUUAAGUUAACAGGUUAUGCUGGCACAAGAGCAAAUGUCUAUGAAUGAUGCAUGCGGUCAGACUGGGGGAUCUCAAUGAAAGGAGAGCAGCUCUAGGACAACCUUCCAGGCAGAGUUGUGGGAGCAGAAGAUCACAUUGCUUUAAAGAUGGAGUUUCAUUGACUUGUGAAUAAUAAUAUCAGGUGGGGGAAGGUGAUUGACAUUGGAAGCUGCUAGACAUGCUUUUCAACCUGAAGUCCUCUGAUACACAUGAUUUAUGAUGCAGGAUCUACUGAGCUCACACCAGAGCUCGUCAAACUUCUGAAAUCUCCCUUGGAAAAUGAGACCACCUAGUCCUGGCACGUGUGGUUAAAGACCUCUGCACCUUAAUGUUUGUGGUAGUACUUAAAACACUCAUCCUCAGUGAAAACGCUGUCAACCUUCUUCAUGGCUAUUGCACAUCUUGGCUGGGCAGCGAUGCGCGUGGGUGUGCAGGGUAUCCACACUCGGUAUCUGCUGAUGCUCCCUCAGGGGACAGAUCAUACAACAGAGCUGUUGGUUUUCUGCCACAUUUCAAGGUUCAGGGGAUCCUCUGCUUCCUCUUUCCUACUUGGUGAAAUGAUAAAAUUAUUUGGCCCAUUUACUUGGUGAUUUGUUCUCUUUCUCAUACAGACUGGUUGUUUUUUUUUGCAAAAACUGAAUCAAGCUGUAUUGUCUGAGAAUAAAGACAAGUUCCUGGUGUCAAGUUCAAAACAAUUGCAUCCAUGACUGCCACGAUUUUGAUGACCCAUAACACUGGCUCACUUCUUACUGCAAUUUAAAGUGAUGAUUCACAUCCUCCUGAGUUGCAGAUGGUAAAUCAGUUCAUCUGGUGAAGCUGGAUCCUAUUGUGGUAUAGUAAAGCAGCCCUUGGUACAUACACAUCCUCCUUCUUGAAGAGCUGAUGGAGAGAAGCAGGGUCCCUCUGGUCUGUGGCUCCAGUUCCUUCUGAACAAGACGAAGAUGGAUCCAUCAGGGAGGCUGGGAUUGGGGUGGACAGGCUCUAUUCACCUCAGCUCCAGACCAGAGCUACAGAGCAAAAGCUCUGCUGUCUGUAGCUUCAGGAGACCAGAGCCAUGGAAAGAGGCAGAUCUGCAGGGCUGCCAUGCUCUUUCCUCCAGAAACACUGCCCACCAUGUCCCUGUGUCGCCCAUCUCUCCGUGCACAGCAUCCUAGCACCCAUCUCCUAACACCCACUCGCGUCCCAGUUUUGGCUGUUCCUCAACACCAUCAUGUAUUUGGCACAAAUGUGUCCCCCAGGGCAGUGCAGCACAGCCGGCAUCCUUUAGAAACCAUGGGCAAAAAUGAAGAAGCUGCCACGCAUCCAGUCCACCUGUUUUCUGUCCCAUCUGCCCUGCAAAACCAAGCAGCUGCCAGCAGCUCAUCUGCCCAAGCAGGACACCUUCCCCUGGCCAAGGCGUUCGGCUGCUCCUGUCAAAGAAGGAUGAACAUCUGCAGCAAGAUGCUGGGACCGCAUCCUGCUUCUCUAGCCAGUGAGAACUGAGCUGCUGCCAGCAAGGGAGGAGGUUUCUAUGGGUAUAUUAUCACUGGAAAUAUGCUGAUGCAUCUGUGUGGUUGACUCCCUACACAUGCUUGUCCUUCCCUGAAACGAUGUGCCCCUUUUCCUUCCCUCUACCAUCCUGUUUUAAGGUGUUCCCUUCCCUUUCUCUCCACAUCCUUGGAGCUGCCACCUGCCUGGACAUCCGCAGCAGGAGGACGGAUGUCCUGCUGAGUAGGUGUCUCUACACAGAAUCAUCCAUCACGCUGCAGUCAAGCCACAUGCCUCGAGGAUGCUGGCAUCGCGUUCAGUAAGUUAUUUGGUUAAGGACUAUUCCUUACCAUAGGAAGAAGAAAUAACGAGGAAAAUGCUAAAUUAAACACAGAGACACACAAAUAUUAAUAAGCAGGUGAUGAGGGAGAUAAUAAUGGAAGCCAGAGCUCAUCAGGUACUUACUGAUGGGCCAUGAAAAGAAUCACUGCAGCCUUGGAGAGGAUCGGCCUCGAUUUUGUAACUGAUGAGAAGAAGAAAACAUAUUGUGAAUAUUAAGAGAUUUUUUGGGGGGCUUCACACAACUUGCUAUGGGAUCUUUAGAAGGACCACAGACACGGAAAGGGAAGGAUCAGGGUGGAACAAGUAUGGGAAGAUGGCGAGGAGGGAGGUUGGAAGGGUCAGACUGGUGAGCAGGCCAUCGGGCAGGACGCUCACCUGACUGGGCCCUGCCCCUGAUCCCUGCAGUCUGGCCUGUCUUCUUGUUAAAUCCCAUUCUUAAUUGCCUUUUCUGCGUCAUUUCAGUGUCUGUCCUGUGUGCCAGCCACUGGCACACAGUCACCAGCCACCCUCCCACAUGCUGUUUGCGACUGUGCUGAGCUUCAGACUUGAAGUGAGUGCAAAGUCUCAACUGCAACAAGAAAGAAAAUGUGUUUUAUUAAGUAAUUAGAACUUGCCAACAGGUACUGAGCACAGGCCGGAUACUUAGAAAGAAGUUCCUACAAAUAAACAUAAAUCCAAUGGGACUAGGGUAAUAGGAGAGAACCUGAAAGGCCAUAAGACAACUCCAUUCCAGCUGCUUUCAGACAGACCUCACUUGUAUCAGACAAUGUGAGGAACGGCAGCAUCAACAGCUGUUGAGUUACAAACUUGUCUUUACUGAGUUUGAAGCCAGUCAAUUUUCAACACCUUGUAACAAGGGAACUGUGUUUGAAGACCAAAAGGUUGAGGUUCAAGUGUCUUCAGAUCUGGCAAGAACACUGUCCACUCAGGUACCAAAGUGAAAAUUAAAAUGCUUAUACCAUUUUUUUGUGGUGCUUUAAGCUGCUGGGGCUGUAGAGCAACCAAAUAACUGUAGUAUCACUUUCAGACAAUACUGUUGCAUAAUGAAUUCAAGUAAAGGAUGAAAACACAGAAAACUGAACUAGAACAUGCCAGUGCAGCCUUUAUUUCCCCAAAGUAACUGGAUGAAUUCAGAGAAGUUGCACUCUUGCCAUUUCACUUGUAGCUGUCAAACACAAAGCCUGAAAAGUAGGUCUCGGAAAAGUUUGGUUUACCUCUUUUUAUGAGCUUGUGUCGUGCAAAGCCAUGAAGUGAAUUAGAAUUAGACUAAGUACCUGAGGCCUCAGCAGCUGGUAAGCACUUGCUGACAGGAAGCAACAGGAGCUCCAUUCAUUGAGCUGCUGCAAACGGCCAUGGAAAGCAUUAGAGUGUUCCCUGAUAAGAGUUCAAGGCUUCUCCACAUUUCCUGUAUUCGCCCUUCUAUCCAAGAAUGACAUUGAUACUUAAGGCAUGGCUGACCACAGGAUGUCAAACUAGAAUGUUCUCUAAUUGGAAAGUCCCAGAAGUGGUAGUUUCAUCAGUUAUCUCAUUACUUUAGGCAUACAGCUGAGUUAUUUGCAUUCUCUGUCUAAACAGAAGAGCCUUAAUAUUAAUUCCACCUACAUUAUAUUUGCAUCAUUAAUAACAAGUGCAUUAUAGAAACAUAAUAUGGAGUAAACAAGACAUUUCAAAAUGUGCAAGUUGAAAGAGAAUCACUGCCAGACCCUGGCAAGUUUGAACAGAAUACACGCUCAUUUUGCUCUGAGUAAGUGGUGUUCUUUAACUUUUAUCGGUGUUCAAUUGUCUAUAGUUAUGCCCUGCCAUAAAUCUUAAACACACUGAUCCUACUACACUAAUUACAGGAUUUCCUUUUGCACAGCUAAAGGAAUUUAUAUCAUGGCCUUUACAGUGGUAUCCAAUCCCAUGGCAAAAUAAUGAACUGCAUCUUAUUAUGCACAUCAACGCUUUACUGUUUUAAGUUAACUGGAUGAUGAGUGACUUUCUUAGGAACGUUCUGCUCUUUCUUACGCACACAGGAGGUUAAGAUCUUUUAAAAGUGGAUUUUUCAUACUAUAUAUGCUGCUUUGGAAGAUAAACUUCAGAACUCUGAUAAAGUUAUUAGUAUGUUGUUUGCUCGAUUAACUUCUUGUUGCUAUUUUGAGUCUCAAGUAGCCACUGAAUGUUUGGUCAUCAGCCAUUAGCUCAUUUGAUGUGCUGGAGAGCAUUGCCAUGAACUGUAGUGAGCAGAGGACCGAGCCCUUGAUGUUCUCACUUGAGAAAUGCCUGUGUCACAGCUGCCUUUACCACAGUUGACAUCAAAUAUCUCUCCAGCAGGCAGUUUCAACAGAAGCCAAGUUUUGAGCGCACACUGAGUCUGAUUACGCUACCACGCAAUUCCACUGUAAAACCGACAUCAGUAGCAAUGACACGGGACAGACUCCCUGGGCAAUUAAUGACUUUCCUGUCAGAUAUAUUGGCAGAGUAAUGGGGAAACUUCACAGAGAGCUCCUUCGAUGUAUUAUUUUCCUCAAAACUGAAUUAUUCUUUUAGAUAGCAGCUACAUCUACUCAAGGAGAUCUAUAAUGCUUCUAAAUGCAUAAGAAAGGGGGAAGAGAACCACAGGCUGGGUAGUGUUUCUAUUUCACUUCUGUGAAAUAAGUUAUUUUUGCACCGUCAAUAAUAGCCCAAGAACUCAAGUCAGAUCUGGGAGAAAUAAAAAAACAACAAAACAAAACAAAACAACAUAUCAGAAAUGAACCUAAAUUAAAUAAGUGGCACCUCCAUUUUCAUUUAAUCAUUUAGCAUGAGACAGAAGUUUAAAUUAAUAACCCUUUCAGAGUUCUAAACCUUACCAUAUCAACUUGUUUCACU
Long non-coding RNA from Columba livia (rock pigeon), 5156 nucleotides. RefSeq lists it as uncharacterized. The transcript has 5 exons. Lineage: Eukaryota; Metazoa; Chordata; Aves; Columbiformes; Columbidae. The record is from RefSeq and is a predicted model, not a curated record.